CACUGAGAAACUUUUACAAAGCCUGAAAUAGUAUUCAAAAUAUGACGCUUUUUAAGCUUGGCUUCUUUUUUUCUAUCCUUCUCAUGACAAACAUCAUCAAUGUAUCAUGGCUCUCAAAAACACAAGUUUUGUCUGCACGAGAUGUAGAUUACAAUCUCUCAGGACUCAAGAAGAGACUACUCCCACAGCUUGAUCUUGAGUGGACUUGUGGAAGACUAUGUACUUCUGACAGUGAGUGCAAGGAUUGCUGGAUUUGUUGCUGGUGUGUUUUUGAUAGUACUGUAGAUGCGAUUAAUAAUCGUUGUGGAAUAUAGGUGCAUAUAGUACAUUGGUUUCUAAUUGCAACAGAAUAUUCUACAAUAUCUGUUAAGCAAUUGUAUUUCCAUGUAAUUUUAAUGCUUUCCUUGUUUUCUUAUCUUCAGUUAAUUAUUUGUAUGAAAUAAUGAAGAAAACCAAGUGCGUGACUCUAUUCAGGAAUAAUGAUGGAUUUUGAUAAAAA
Nicotiana attenuata is the source of this 499-nucleotide long non-coding RNA. RefSeq lists it as uncharacterized. The transcript has 2 exons. Lineage: Eukaryota; Viridiplantae; Streptophyta; Magnoliopsida; Solanales; Solanaceae. The record is from RefSeq and is a predicted model, not a curated record.